This is a long non-coding RNA of Brassica rapa (field mustard), 2255 nucleotides long. RefSeq lists it as uncharacterized. NCBI's taxonomy places the organism in Eukaryota, Viridiplantae, Streptophyta, Magnoliopsida, Brassicales, Brassicaceae. The record is from RefSeq and is a predicted model, not a curated record.
AAAAAAUAUGUUACUUUAACGUGUUAUAAUAAAAAUAAAUUUUAAUUAUGACAUGCAUCUUAACAUUUAUAUAAAUAUAUAUCAUAACCUAAAUAUAAAUAAUUUAACAACUUAAAUUAGAAAAAAAAAUUAGAAAAAAUAAAAAUCCCGGGCAUAGCCCGGGUUAAUCCCUAGUCUUAUUAUAUCUCUAUAAUAUUAUUUGACAAGUCAGUUUCCUAUGUGUCGCUCUCGCGUUAAUUCUUACGGCGGUUGAUUACAGAGAUACCCUUAAUAAACUAAAAAUAUUAUAUCUAAUUGCCAUUAUUAAAUUUUUAUUUAUUUUUAAUUUAGUUUUCCUUUCCUUUAUUAUCAUUCCAAAUAAUAUAUAUAAUAAAAGUAAGCAUUAAUUAAACUAUAAAUUUUUAAAAAUGAAAUAUGUAUCAAGAAUAAUUUGAUUUCAUAAAGAAGGAAAGUUCACAAUAAAAAAAAAGGAAAAAUAAAUAUUUUAAAAACGAAAAUAUAUCACAUACAAAAUUUGAUUUCAUAAAAAAGGAAAGUUCACAAAAAUAAUCAUAAUAUUAGAAAUAUAUUUCUUUUAAAACAUAAUCUUAAAUAACAUAAUAUAUAUUUUAAAAGUAAUAAAAAUCUAAUUAUAAGAAUAAUUUUAGUAAUAACAACAAAAAAGUAGAUGUAAUAUAAUAUACCCAAAUAAUAAUCAAACCGACUAGACACUGUAUAUCUAAAAUCACAUGUCUAAUUAAAAUAACAUAAUAUUAUUUAUACAAGAUCAUACAUAUAAAUUAUAAAAUAAAAUAGUAAUCAAUAUUGUAAUAUAUUUAUAUGUUGAUAUUUAUAUCCGUGUAUGAGCACGGAAAAAUCACCUAGUAAAGUAGUGUUCUCUCUUUUCUCUUUCGAGAUACGUCAGAUUCCACGUAGGAAAGUCGAGUUACCCCAGCACGACACCUGUCAUGGAAGAUCGAAACGCACAGUUUCAUUUAAAAUUGAUAGUGAGUUAAUGAUAUUUGGGUCCGAAACCAGAAAAAAUAGGCCCAUAAUGCCUUCAACUCUUCCCGACAUACAAUUUAGGGUUAAUCGGCUCUCGAACUCUCGGAUUCUGUAUACAAACAAUGGCGGUUCUGAUAUUGCCUAAGACUCGAUGAUUCAUCGUUAAUCUUCCCGUUGGACUCUGAUCAUGUCGUUUUAGUCUCCCUGAUUCACCUCAGAACCAUUACAAGUCGCAUUGAUUCAAAUCAUUAACCAAAACUUAACUCUUCCUUUUCAUUACAACCACAAUCUUGAAUUCAAUGAGUCUUAUCCAUCUUGCAUGCGACGAUUCUCCCCUAUAAAAAGGGUGGAGGUGUGGGUGGCUGCCGUAGAGUUUUCAAAUAUGGUUUACAAAUUUUUUUUUUUGUAAUCUGGUUAAAUUAAGGGACGUUAAGAGGGGGAAAUCCGGGAGAGGUGGGGGAAUCUUGCCAUUGAGGAGUAUCGUAGCUUGAAGAAUCACACGAAAAUGAAGACUUUUUAAUCAAAGAGAUGGACAUGAGGAGAUGCAAGAGGAAGAACAUGGAGAUUGGGAGGCGGUGGUCUUCCUCUCCACAAUCUUGCUAACUUGAAGUCAAAUAACGGUCACAAAAAUGCUUUCAUAAGAGACUCUUACUACAUAGUUGUUAGCUACUCUUUUCUGAUGCGAGGAUUGGGAGGAACCCUUGCUUUAAGAUGAUGAUAUGAUUGCUACAGUGUGUAUGUAGUAAUUUUUUAUGUAUCUAAUAUGUGUAUGUAGUAUGUAAGAUGAUUAGAAGAAAGUAGAGCAUAUCCUAAUUAGUAACUGACUAUGUCAAUGGUGUUUAGAAUCAGAAGAAGACUAUUUUGGAGCUCCUUAUGAUGAGAAUCUGACUAAAAGCUUGAAGUAAAGAUUGAAGGAGUUUUGUUUCUUUUGCGAUGAUCUCUUAACUUUUCUCUUUCCAGAAAAUAAAUAUGAGUUCUACAAGAAUGCCAAGUAUCUGAGCAAGUUUAGGAAGUCAACGAAUCAGAACAUUUUUUGUGAGAAGGAUGAGAUGAAGCAGUGGUACUUUUAAGCAGAUGAUCAUAGUAAACAACUUUUGUGUAGUUUUAUCCUAAAAAAAACACGAAACGGUACUGAAGCAUACCAUGGACUUUAUAAUUUACACAUGCUUUUACAUUUUAUGUCUUUUCGUUCUCCUUAGAAGAUCAAGAGCAAAACAAAAGAUGGCUUUUUCUCUAAUCUGGUUACGUAAAAACUUAAUGUUAACAACAGU